UGGGGAAUUUUGGACAAUGGGCGAAAGCCUGAUCCAGCAAUGCCGCGUGUGUGAAGAAUGCCUUCGGGUUGUAAAGCACUUUUGUCCGGAAAGAAAACGCCGUGGUUAAUACCCGUGGCGGAUGACGGUACCGGAAGAAUAAGCACCGGCUAACUACGUGCCAGCAGCCGCGGUAAUACGUAGGGUGCAAGCGUUAAUCGGAAUUACUGGGCGUAAAGCGUGCGCAGGCGGUCCGCUAAGACAGAUGUGAAAUCCCCGGGCUUAACCUGGGAACUGCAUUUGUGACUGGCGGGCUAGAGUAUGGCAGAGGGGGGUAGAAUUCCACGUGUAGCAGUGAAAUGCGUAGAGAUGUGGAGGAAUACCGAUGGCGAAGGCAGCCCCCUGGGCCAAUACUGACGCUCAUGCACGAAAGCGUGGGGAGCAAACAGG
Molecule: ribosomal RNA, 429 nt
Filed under: Acidobacteriota bacterium
Lineage: Bacteria; Pseudomonadati; Acidobacteriota
Description: Acidobacteria bacterium partial 16S ribosomal RNA
Rfam family: Bacterial small subunit ribosomal RNA
Source: RNAcentral